GAGGGUAUAGCUCAGUGGUAGAGUACAUGCCUAGCAUGCAGGAGGUCCUGGGUUCAAUCCCCAGUACUUCCA
Molecule: transfer RNA, 72 nt
Filed under: Camelus bactrianus (Bactrian camel)
Lineage: Eukaryota; Metazoa; Chordata; Mammalia; Artiodactyla; Camelidae
Also listed under: 2 other names
Rfam family: tRNA
About the family: Transfer RNA (tRNA) molecules are approximately 80 nucleotides in length. Their secondary structure includes four short double-helical elements and three loops (D, anti-codon, and T loops). Further hydrogen bonds mediate the characteristic L-shaped molecular structure. tRNAs have two regions of fundamental functional importance: the anti-codon, which is responsible for specific mRNA codon recognition, and the 3' end, to which the tRNAs corresponding amino acid is attached (by aminoacyl-tRNA synthetases). tRNAs cope with the degeneracy of the genetic code in two manners: having more than one tRNA (with a specific anti-codon) for a particular amino acid; and 'wobble' base-pairing, i.e. permitting non-standard base-pairing at the 3rd anti-codon position.
Source: Rfam by way of RNAcentral